UGCAUUGGCCGGGAAUCGAACCUGGGCUGCCCGCGUGGCAGACGAGCAUUUUACCACUGAACCAUCGAUGC
This 71-nucleotide transfer RNA is filed under the name Cordylochernes scorpioides. RNAcentral's name for it is "tRNA-Gly". The record is from RNAcentral. Lineage: Eukaryota; Metazoa; Arthropoda; Arachnida; Pseudoscorpiones; Chernetidae.